AUAUAUCUUAACUUUUUAGUUUCGACCAUUUUUGGUCACCGAAAGCUCUACCGAACUGUAAUCUCUAACAAAUAGCAGUCGGAUUUUAUUUUCCACCUUCCGGGUGUCGGAUUGAUAUGAAACUUUAAAUCUAGCCUCAUAAAAAUAUUUCCAACAUAUUCUCCAGUUUUCAUAAUUUUCUGACACUGUACAUUUUCUGCUAAAAUAUCAGUCCCGUUCUUUACAGAAAAUUCUAAAUCUCCUAUUUCAGGUCCGAUUUCAGCACAAAUCAUUUUCAACUUCUAUUUUACUUCUCUAAGUCAAAUAAAAAUAGUAUCUCACACUAUUUUUAUUUAUAUUUAUUUUUAUAUUAAAAAUCCGGUAUAUUACAUCCCAUCGUAACUUCAUAAUUUCAGAAGUUCGGUACUUUACAUCCUCCCCUCCUUAAUAAGAGUUUCGUCCUCGAAACUCAAAUCAUUUCUUAAGUCGACUUAUCGA
RNAcentral lists this long non-coding RNA (477 nucleotides) under Ananas comosus (pineapple). Its description in RNAcentral is "long non-coding RNA (ACOM_LNC035753)". The record is from RNAcentral. Lineage: Eukaryota; Viridiplantae; Streptophyta; Magnoliopsida; Poales; Bromeliaceae.